Zootermopsis nevadensis is the source of this 1769-nucleotide non-coding RNA. Lineage: Eukaryota; Metazoa; Arthropoda; Insecta; Blattodea; Termopsidae. The record is from RefSeq and is a predicted model, not a curated record.
AAAGUUGGUGACAUUUGUUAUCAUCUGUGAUGCUGUUCCUGUGCGCAGUAUUCCGUCACAUAUGUAUGAAGUGUGGAAAGUUGCUUGAUUCACGGAGGAACACGAAGCUCUUAAGCCGAUCAAGAAGGUGACAGCUGCAGUGCUGUGAGGGGAACGAGGUAGAGUCCUGACACGACGAAACUCCUCCUCUGACAAAAUGAUAAGGCCACCAGAAGUUGUCAAUACCUUCCCGUGACGAGUUUUCAGAUGCCGUUUAGUUGUCAACUUAAAGGGGCAACAUGAUUUUACUAUCACAAAGGUUGCAUCAUUCUAAAGUUUCUGCCUUACGUUCUUUUCUGAAAAUCCAAGCUGGGCCUGAGUUACAUUUCAUAAUCAAUGUCCUGCUACAAAGAAUUAUUAACAUUAAAUGUUAUGGGAGGCAAGUAGAACUUAAACUUGUUUUUGACAAAUAAAUACAAGGGAAAUAAAAAAGGGCAAUUCAAGAAGUAGAAGCAGCAAGUGUGAUUUAUUAAAAGUAAUAUCCCACAACAUUCCAGGAAUAUGUAUGAAAAUUUCAGAACGCAUGACCACAGAAUUAAAUCCUCAUAUUUUACCAGUAAAAUUAACACAUUUGUAAUGAUAUAAUAGAACUAUUUAGUGGAUAUAUUCAGCGAAGUAAGAGUGUGGUUCUGCACGAUCCUAAGAGGGAGAUGGCCUUCAGCUUUACUAGUAAAACUGAAGCUGUCUCGUUACAUGCCAUGGAAACAUUUUGGGGAAGAAGUGGCCCCACAGCCAACCUGAAAAUGAGGCUAGAAGAAAAAUCACUUGCCCCUGCCAGGGAUUGAAUCCUGGUCGUCAAGUUUAUAGUCAGGCUAGUCAGACACUGUACCAACUGACCUACCCUGGCUCUCUUCAAUUUUACGAUCUAAUGGAAAAUACAGAACAGUGCAUAACAUAUAUGUUGUCUUACUCAUACUUUAUUAAUGUGUAGCAUCUUACCACCAAGCCACUGGUUCUGAAGCAUGCCAUCAUAUUCAAAUCUGAAUAUUACAUAAUAUUGCAAUGUUUUCAAUCUGUACAAAAUACCAGAUAAUUAUGUAAUUUAGUAACAACAGAUUGCCCAAUGUGUGCUCUCAGUAAUAUCAAUGAGGUUAAUUAUUUUUUAAAGUACAGCCAUCAUUUAGUAUACUAAAAUGAAACCAUAACAUUUCAUUUUAGUAUAAUUAACAAUGGAUUUAGUUAAAAAAAAACAAUAUUGAAUGUAACACACUACUGUUAAAACCCUUUAGAGUAAUAUGAAUAAGAGUCUGACACUGCCAAGUUUAAUAAAAGUGAUUUAUGUUGUCAUAGCCUUCAGUGUUGAAAACAAACAUGCUCCAUGUAUAGAUGUGAUUAUUAAUUAUCAGGAGAUUGAUGAGGUGAACAUUAAAGACAUGAUAAUUUCACUACUUACACUCUGCUUUAAGUUCCAGCUGAUGCACAUGUUCCAAAAGAUGGGUCUUCAUUUGCUGUCUGGCUUUCCCCUCACUACCAAAACUUGAAAAUUGCUGAUGGCACUGGUCUGGUUCCAUAAAACAAGUGAAUGUAAAUAUCCUACGAAUUUCAUCACCAUCGAACUCGGAGAACAGCUUGAGCAAAUGAUUGGCUUUUAGGGAACGAAGAUAUUCUAGGUCCAUUGUAUUCCCUUCUCUGCUUCGACUGUUACAAGUCGCUCGUUGCUGUACACACAUAUAAAACAGCCACAUGUAACUUGAGAUAUUUAGAUAAUAAAUUAUAAUAGUGAUGACUUA